UCCCCCCGCUCGACCCCACCAAACUCUCUCACGAAUCUCUCAAAAAAAAAACUCUCUCUCUCGCGAACCUCACCCCACCCCUUGGUCGAUCUCCUCUCCCCACGAUCUCCUCGCCGCCGCCACCACCCACGCCGGCCGGUUCCGGCGAGCUCCGGCCGCGCGCCACACGCCCCCAAGAUCCUCAAGCUCCGCCCCUCCGUCCCCUCCAUCCAGAUCCGUGCCUAAGGCCUGCACCUUUGCCCGCGGCUAGGGUUUCGGGCGCCUCCCGUGUUCUUGCCGGAAUCCACCACAAUCGGCGAUGGCGAGGCCGGAGCUUGCGGGAUCCGUCACCGGCGGCGGCGGAGAGCCCUCGGGCACCGCGUCCUCCACCCCGGCGUCUGGCGGCAGGAGGAUCCUGCGCACGCAGACCGCGGGCAACCUUGGCGAGUCCGUCUUCGACAACGAAGUGGUCCCCUCCUCGCUCGUUGAGAUCGCCCCCAUCCUCCGCGUCGCCAACGAGGUCGAGGCAAGCAACCCGCGCGUCCCGUACCUAUCACCGAGUCUGCCUGCAUAUUAUAUUCUUCAUGCUGGAGUAUAAGACUAGUGCUAUCUUGCAGCCGGAUGACAUCUCGGCCAGCAUGCACAAGUGACCGCAUCGCCAUGGCUUCACCGGUUGAUCUUCUCGCUACCGUCAUCUCGCCAUGGCUCCACUAAUACUCUCCACUGUCACCUUGCUAUGGUUCCACCGUCAUGGUCACUGGCCCAAUGAAAUUGACCUAGUGAUUUUGAUGGAGUGAUGAGUUAAGAUUAAUUUACAGCCCCGAUUUGGCUUAUUUGUAUUUUUGUUUGGAAGAUCAAGGAUUUGUAAGAUUGACUACAACUAUCCCUCUUGCUUUAAAUCAGGGGCAUAUAUGCAUGGAUGAAUGACCGACAAACAUGUACAGGUUAAUGCAUGCACGGAGUGUGUUUCUAUGUGUUGCAACCGUCGUGGUCAUCAUCGUCGAUUUGUCAUGGUGAUCGUCGUCGUCGUCAUUGUUCGUUGCCGGGGACGUCCCCGGAAAGUACUCGGCGUCGACUAAGCCAACACUAUGCAUCCAUGGCUAAAUAUCAAGCUAGCUGCUUGCCCUCACACGCAACACUAAUCCACUCAGAUUGCACGAGCGAGUUCGGGAGUUAUGCCAGAACAUGAUUGUGAGUCAAUCUGAUCUUAUUAUUCGAAACUUUGUUCCGCACCUUAGGGGGUUACUAAUGCAAUACUUAUCAAUUUUAUUGUAUGCAAUCAUAUAUGGUGCAGAGGUCAAAACGAUUUAAAGUACUGUUUAUAUUCUGCAUUUAAAGGCUCAUCUCCUCAUAUUGUCAUUUAUUUUUUGUACAGUGCAAAACAUAGCAGUUUUUUUAUUCCAAUUUAUCAGGUGCAAACUUCUAUGGGUUAUCAAGUGGUACCUUUUUAUUUUCCUAAUUGACUUGCAGCUAGCAGACUGGUAAUAUACACUCACCCUCUCUAUAUGCUCGAUCUCAAUACUGGAAUGAUUUUUUUUGCUACCAUGCAAUAUUGUUUGCCGGAUAUUUCUACAUUGAAUUACCCUAAAUCAUUUGUGCAAUUAAAGGUGUGUAAUCCUGAUGACAUAUGUUUGCUGUAUUUCCUUGGAACUUUCAUUUUCUGUUUGUGAAUUAAUCGCCAAAUGAACGAGUGACAGUGUUGCUUCAGUGCCAAAACAUGUCAAGUACUUUUAUACUCCUUUCUGUGACAGGACUACUGUAACUACUUUUUGCCUCUUCAUACCUCUCUGAAUCACCCUGCAUUAGUUCCCGAUUUCAAUGGGCAUAUCACUCGCACAAGUUGCUCAUGUUAAGGACAAUCUUACGUUAUUUACAACCGUGGAGCAUCACCGUGAUUACCUUACAUUGUCAUAGUUGGUGAGCUGAACAAUGAUGUGAUCACACAACUGUAGUAUCUGAUUUGUGUAUUCCACGUAUGCUAUUGAUACUUCUGCUUAGGUAGUUUCUACUUGCUACAGUUGAACACUAUAUCAUGUUAUGUACUCUGGUCGUGGUUAGUAGAAAAUAGUUUAACUUGCAUUUUGAGGUUCUAAUGUUUGUAUUGAGCUCUUGAUCCUAAAUAUUUUUCCAUAAUUGUUCUCUCUUUUAUAGAUUGCCUUAUGAUUAUUCAUAUGCAUUAUAGUACUUUGUCCUAGUUAAUGAAGACUUUUCCCAAUAUUAUCCUUUCCCAUGCCUCGAAACUAUGAACCUGGCCCAGAGAAUGAUUUUUUUAGGAUUCAUGGUUAUUUUUUCUUGUUAUUAGCCAUUACUAUUGAUUCAUGUGCAUGUGCUAAAAAGAAAGAAAAUACCCUACUGGAUUUGGAUGCGGACGCCAACUAACAAAUUUUCACUUUCCGACGUGGGCGUAGGGGUGAUUGACGUGGACUACUGCGGCCUGGUGGGCGUCGUGCUCUUCAACCACUCGGAGGUGGACUUCAUCAUGAAGCCCGACGACCGCGCCGCACAGAUGAUCAUCAAAGUCAUUGCGACACCGGAGGUCGCCGAGGUGGAGGACAUCGACGUCACCGUCCGGCGGGAGGGAGUGUUCGAAUCCAUCGAUGUUUGAACUUCGAGCCUUGGUAGAUACAUCUAGAGAAGUGGUCUAGUUGUUUGCAUCUGAUGUUAAAUGGGAUCUCGUGAUCUCGAGUUGAGAUGGUCAAUGUUGUAUCCAUGAAUGCUGCAAGUGCUAAGAUGGUUCUGUGAACUUUUAUUUACACUAGACGUGUCUUGAUUUC
This is a long non-coding RNA of Triticum aestivum (bread wheat), 2753 nucleotides long. RefSeq lists it as uncharacterized. Lineage: Eukaryota; Viridiplantae; Streptophyta; Magnoliopsida; Poales; Poaceae. The record is from RefSeq and is a predicted model, not a curated record. The transcript has 4 exons.